Molecule: long non-coding RNA, 314 nt
Filed under: Solanum lycopersicum (tomato)
Lineage: Eukaryota; Viridiplantae; Streptophyta; Magnoliopsida; Solanales; Solanaceae
Description: long non-coding RNA (SLYC_LNC001217)
Source: RNAcentral
UGAGGAAAAUCCUGAAGAAUCGGCAGUUGAAGAAAAAACUGAAGAACCACUCAUUGAAGAGAAACCUGAUGUACCAGCUAUUAAGGAGAAACCCAAAGAACCAACAUUUGAGGAGAAAUCUGAAGUACCAGUUGAGGAGAAACCUGAAGAACUAGAGAUGACAGAGAAACCUGAAGAACCAGCGGCUAUAGAAACACCUGAAGAGCUUGCAGGGCAGGAAAUACCUGAAGAACUAGACCUUGAAGAGAAACCUGAAGAACCAACAGUUGAAGACACAUCUGAAGAACUAGUUGUUGAAAAGAAAGAUGAGAAAC